This 275-nucleotide ribosomal RNA is filed under the name uncultured bacterium. RNAcentral describes it as "partial 16S ribosomal RNA". It matches the Rfam family "Bacterial small subunit ribosomal RNA", at positions 399 to 691 of the family's 1533-position model. The record is from RNAcentral.
GCGUGAGUGAGGAAGGCCUUAGGGUUGUAAAGCUCUUUCACCCACGACGAUGAUGACGGUAGUGGGAGAAGAAGCCCCGGCUAACUUCGUGCCAGCAGCCGCGGUAAUACGAAGGGGGCGAGCGUUGUUCGGAUUUACUGGGCGUAAAGGGCGCGCAGGCGGCCAUCUUUGUCAGGCGUGAAAGCCCCGGGCUUAACCUGGGAAUGGCGCUUGGGACGGGGUGGCUAGAGAUCGGGAGAGGAGCGUGGAAUUCCCAGUGUAGAGGUGAAAUUCGU